RNAcentral lists this ribosomal RNA (394 nucleotides) under uncultured bacterium. Its description in RNAcentral is "partial 16S ribosomal RNA". It matches the Rfam family "Bacterial small subunit ribosomal RNA", at positions 338 to 729 of the family's 1533-position model. The record is from RNAcentral.
CCUACGGGCGGCAGCAGUGAGGAAUAUUGGUCAAUGGACGAGAGUCUGAACCAGCCAAGUCGCGUGAAGGAUGACUGCCCUAUGAGUUGUAAACUUCUUUUAUAUGGGAGUAAACUGUUAUACGUGUGGCAGUCUGUAAGUACCCUAUGAAUAAGGAUCGGCUAACUCCGUGCCAGCGGCCGCGGUAAUACGGAGGAUUCGAGCGUUAUCCGGAUUUAUUGGGUUUAAAGGGAGCGUAGGUGGAUUGGUAAGUUAGUUGUGAAAGUCUGAGGCUCAACCGUAGAAUUGCAUCUGAUACUGGUCGGCUUGAGUGCAGUAGAGGUAGGCGGAAUGUGUGGUGUAGCAGUGAAAUGCUUAGAGAUCACGAAGAACUCCGAUUGCGAAGGCAGCUUAC